Long non-coding RNA from Ictalurus punctatus (channel catfish), 762 nucleotides. The record is from Ensembl. Lineage: Eukaryota; Metazoa; Chordata; Actinopteri; Siluriformes; Ictaluridae.
GCCACUUAUAAAGUUGGCCUUAAGGUGCACCCUAAUGAGCAGGACCCCCGUGUGCCUAUCAUGUGCUGGGGCAGCUGUUCUUGCACCAUCCAGUCUAUAGAGAGAUUAUUGGUAGAUGAGGAGAAGCCUUGUUUGGAAGUUUACCCUGUAGACAGGUAUGACAACCCAACUUAUUGUCAUAUCUCAGCCCAGCCAGGACUCGGUUUCCCGAGAAGCAACACCCACUUCUAACGUGGCCGCUGAGGACUACACUUCCCACACACGCAUGCGCUCACUUCCCCGGAGUUCUGAUCUCACACACCUGCAGCCAAUCACCUUGUCCACUCACCACGGCUUAUUAAGAGACUUUGGAUACAGAGACACUUUGAGAAGUAAACAUUCAGUAGACUAGUUUCUCUGUCGUUCUCCAAGCGUUACCUGCUGUGUUUAUUCGAUAAGUGACUUUGACCUUUGCUUACGUCCCCGACCACGAUUUCUGUCUUGCCCCGUUUGUUUUGUUUGCAUGAUCGCCUGACCCUCGCUUGCUUCUUGACUAUGGACUGUGUUCACCCCUCUGGAUUAUUCUGCCUGAACCUGCUGCCCGCUUCUGCUUCUGUAUUCCCCACGGAGACUAUUUGAGUUCCCUGGCUCAGUUUGGCUCUGCGUGCUGGACUGUCUCCUCUCAAUCCUCUGUGCAAAAUCACUUCACUUCAUGCGACUCACUUGUUCUUGCUCCCCAGGUGGAAAGUUCCCCCUGCAUUCUGGAUGUUCCACUUAGUGGUG